ACUGUUUUGGCAGAAUAAAUGCAUUAAUUUUAGGAAUUAAUUAUGGAUUAUUAAAAGAUGUUAAUUUCCAAAUAGUA
Molecule: transfer RNA, 77 nt
Filed under: Ecnomus sp. XG-2021
Lineage: Eukaryota; Metazoa; Arthropoda; Insecta; Trichoptera; Ecnomidae
Description: tRNA-Leu
Source: RNAcentral